UACGAAGGGGGCUAGCGUUGCUCGGAAUCACUGGGCGUAAAGCGCACGUAGGCGGAUUGUUAAGUCAGGGGUGAAAUCCUGGAGCUCAACUCCAGAACUGCCUUUGAUACUGGCGAUCUCGAGUCCGGGAGAGGUGAGUGGAACUGCGAGUGUAGAGGUGAAAUUCGUAGAUAUUCGCAAGAACACCAGUGGCGAAGGCGGCUCACUGGCCCGGUACUGACGCUGAGACGCGAAAGCGUGGGGAAGCGAACGAGGAUUGAUAA
RNAcentral lists this ribosomal RNA (263 nucleotides) under uncultured bacterium. RNAcentral's name for it is "partial 16S ribosomal RNA". It matches the Rfam family "Bacterial small subunit ribosomal RNA", at positions 524 to 785 of the family's 1533-position model. The record is from RNAcentral.